AGUGAACGCUGGCGGUAGGCCUAACACAUGCAAGUCGAACGGCAGCACAGGAGAGCUUGCUCUCUGGGUGGCGAGUGGCGGACGGGUGAGGAAUACUUCGGAAUCUACUCUGUCGUGGGGGAUAACGUAGGGAAACUUACGCUAAUACCGCAUACGACCUACGGGUGAAAGCAGGGGACCUUCGGGCCUUGCGCGAUUGAAUGAGCCGAUGUCGGAUUAGCUAGUUGGCGGGGUAAAGGCCCACCAAGGCGACGAUCCGUAGCUGGUCUGAGAGGCUGAUCAGCCACACUGGAACUGAGACACGGUCCAGACUCCUACGGGAGGCAGCAGUGGGGAAUAUUGGACAAUGGGCGCAAGCCUGAUCCAGCCAUACCGCGUGGGUGAAGAAGGCCUUCGGGUUGUAAAGCCCUUUUGUUGGGAAAGAAAUCCAGCUGGCUAAUACCCGGUUGGGAUGACGGUACCCAAAGAAUAAGCACCGGCUAACUUCGUGCCAGCCGCCGCUGUAA
This 506-nucleotide ribosomal RNA is filed under the name uncultured bacterium. RNAcentral describes it as "partial 16S ribosomal RNA". It matches the Rfam family "Bacterial small subunit ribosomal RNA", at positions 29 to 523 of the family's 1533-position model. The record is from RNAcentral.